ACUUAAAUAGCUUAUUUAAUAGAGUUUGAUAUUGAAGAUAUUAAGGAGAUUAAUUUUAAUCUUUAAGUA
This 69-nucleotide transfer RNA is filed under the name Allacta bimaculata. Its description in RNAcentral is "tRNA-Phe". The record is from RNAcentral. Lineage: Eukaryota; Metazoa; Arthropoda; Insecta; Blattodea; Pseudophyllodromiidae.